RNAcentral lists this small RNA (180 nucleotides) under Shimwellia blattae DSM 4481 = NBRC 105725. RNAcentral describes it as "Escherichia blattae DSM 4481 SraG RNA". It matches the Rfam family "SraG RNA". From Rfam's summary of the family: This RNA was discovered in E. coli during a large scale screen. The record is from Rfam by way of RNAcentral. Lineage: Bacteria; Pseudomonadati; Pseudomonadota; Gammaproteobacteria; Enterobacterales; Enterobacteriaceae.
CUCCGUUGCAUCCUCGCGACUAAUGACAACCCUGUCCCGCCCGUACCGGUGCGGAAAAACGUUCUCAAUAGCCGCGCGAACCUCUGCAAUGGAGAUCCAUACCUGGCAACAAUACAUGAGUUUGUAGCAAAUUGCUGCCGUUUGGUUGAAAAAAGGGGCCUUUUGAAAAGGCCCCUUUUU